GCCUCCGUGGCUUAGUCGAGAAAACACCCGACUAUGGUGCGGCAGGAUUCGGGUUCGAGCCCCUGUGAAGGCA
Henosepilachna vigintioctopunctata is the source of this 73-nucleotide non-coding RNA. Lineage: Eukaryota; Metazoa; Arthropoda; Insecta; Coleoptera; Coccinellidae. The record is from the annotation of a GenBank genome assembly.